Molecule: RNA transcript, 1415 nt
Organism: Triticum urartu
Lineage: Eukaryota; Viridiplantae; Streptophyta; Magnoliopsida; Poales; Poaceae
Source: RefSeq, a predicted model, not a curated record
AUUCUUGUGAAAAUAACUGCCAGCUUUAUCGAAAAGAGAAAGCGAGUGAUGAUUUUUGUUCAGUGUGUGGAACUUCAAGGUGGAAGAACAUACCAGAUAAAACUACUUUGACUAUAAGAAGGAAAGAAGGAAGGCAAUCCCAAGGAAGGUGUUACGGUACUUUCCAAUUAAGCCAAGGCUUAAGAGGCUUUUCAUGCAUAAAGAUACAGCUACAGCUUUAAGAUGGCAUGACCAAGAACGCACAAAGGAUGGAGCAUUGCAUCAUUUAGCUGAUUCAGAGGCUUGGAAGGCCAUUGAUUCCAAGUAUAAACACAUCGCAUCAAACUCCCGGAACAUGAGGUUUGGAAUAGGAGCCGAUCAAGUGUUUUACCUAGAAGACGAACUGAACCCAGGUUGGUCAGUGGUGAUGCAGAAUAAACUACCUAGAGAUAGAUGUGACACUGGAACUGAUGAAUGCACACGAGACGUAGAAGCUGAGCCAUUCCAUGUUUCUCACCUCACGGAUAUGUUUAAAAAGAAAAGGAAAUAUCAACAUUGGGUAAGAUCCGAUAUUGAGGGAACAAUUGUCGGUGCUAAUGAUAAUGCUUUGAUCGAUGAAGAACAGUGAUGGUACAUCAUAUAAAGAUUGUUGGCUGAGCUUACACCCUUCAGAAAAUUCGAAGGAAUGAGGUCUUCCACUCAACAUAUAAACCCAUUUUUUUUCUUUAUUGCUUUUCAGUUUCUCGUCCUAUUUUCCGUUGAUGCUGCCAUUGUGGAUUGUGAUAACUGUUAGUACUUCACCCUUACUGUCCUGAAGUAAUCUCAAAGAGCGAGAGUAGCGUGGCAUCUUAAAAUAUUUUUGCCCCGCAAUGGUGAGUGCUUCCUACAGGUGCUUAAACUACUUUAAUUAACGCAGAGCAAGGCUUACUACGGUUUUACUGAAGGUCAAGCACCUGCUAGCACCAGAAGCAAGACUUUGCUUUCGUCCCUCCUCUUAUGCACCUGUGCUCAGCGAUCUUGAAAAACAACCUGUUUUUUUGGUUGAAGCGUCCGCCUAAGCACCUGCAUUGUACAAGGCCUAAGUAUCCCUAUAUGCAUUGAUUUUAACUUGAUUCUUUUUGAUUUGUUAUGAACUUUUUCUCGUGCGCUUCAGUAAAUCUUCUUUUUCAGGAAAUUUUGCAAGUGAAGAUUAGAAGGAUUGUUCUAAACUGAUGGAUGAAGCAAUGUGUUCUUUUAGCGGGCUUUUAUAUGUUUGCAUAGUUUUUGCACUUCAAACAUGAAGCUUGGAAAAAUUCAGAAAAUUGUUACUAAAGUUAAGCUUCAUGUAUGACAGAUUGUCAUUGGAAAUAGAUACACUUUUGUCGAAGAAGUAUUAUGUUAGAUUUACCAUCUUGUAAACUUAGUUUAUGUCUGUUUGAAAUUGGCGUUUUGAUUUA